RNAcentral lists this microRNA precursor (96 nucleotides) under Chlorocebus sabaeus (green monkey). Its description in RNAcentral is "miRNA (ENSCSAG00000025745.1)". Lineage: Eukaryota; Metazoa; Chordata; Mammalia; Primates; Cercopithecidae. The record is from RNAcentral.
AUUUCAACUUAUAGGUUGGUGCAAAAGUAAUGGUGGUUUUGUCAUUGAAAGUAAUGGUAAAAACUACAAUUACUUUCGCACCAACCUAAUAUAUUU